ACUGAGUUCUAUGGAUCAUGGAUUAACUAAGGAUAUUGUGAAAACAUGACAUUGGCACUAGGCACACAACUAUAUUUUUUGGGUACAAGUACCCCCAGGACUCGAUAGAAGGAAACUAACAAGGCAUGACUUUCUUGAAUACAUGACCAACAUCAACAAUCCAUAAUAUAAUAAGUUGGGGAUUUCAUGAAGUACAUAGUUAUCAUAAUCUUGUGCAUGAAUGGAAAUACAUAUCAACAUAUCAAUA
RNAcentral lists this long non-coding RNA (247 nucleotides) under Capsicum annuum. RNAcentral's name for it is "long non-coding RNA (CANN_LNC018923)". Lineage: Eukaryota; Viridiplantae; Streptophyta; Magnoliopsida; Solanales; Solanaceae. The record is from RNAcentral.